CUUAAUUAAUACACAAUUUAUCUUUUCCUUCAGGUUAUUUAUUUCUCAGUCAAAACUCUUGGUUGCCUGCAAGAAACGGAUGCUGGCCCUGUUAAGCAUAAGGGAAUUUAUUGGAAGGACACGAGAGUUCUCAGCAUGGAUAGGUAGCUUGAAAACCAAGCUUAGGAAAGAGGUGCAGAUCAUAUUUUCUGCUUAGAGCAGAUUCCUUCCUGGGCAGACAUUGAGCACACAGCCAGCUGCAGUGGGCACCAGAGACAUUGUGUCCUUUCUACUCUUCAUGUCCUGAUCCCAGUGAUAAUCUUUGAGGCCCCAGUCAGUGGUUCUUUUUUUUUUUUUUUUUUGAGAUGGAGUUUUGCUCUUUUGCCCAGGCUGGAGUGCAGUGGCACGAUCUCAGCUCACUGCAACCUCCACCCACCAGGUUUAAGUGAUUCUCCUGCCUCGGCCUCCCGAGUACCUGGGAUUAUAGGCAUCUGCCAGCAUGUGCAGCUAAUUUUUGUAUUUUUGGUAGAGACAGGGUUUUGCCAUGUUGGCCAGGCUGGUCUCAAACUCCUGGCCUCAGGUGAUCCACCUGCCUCGGCCUCCCAAAGUGCUAGGAUUACAGGCAUGAGCCACCAUGCCUGGCCCAGUAAGUGGUUUUUAAUGAGGGUGAUUUUGCCCCCUUUGGGUACAUUUGGAAUGCCUGGAGACAUUUUUGAUGAUUAUACCUGGGAGGUGGAUAGUGUUACCGGCAUCUAGUGAGCAGAGGCCAGGGAUGCUGCUAUAUAUCCUAGUAUAGGUACAAGCCCACUGCCACUCCCUAAUGAAGAAUUAUCUAGCUCAAAAUGUCAAAGGCACUUGAACCAGAGUGACUCCAUCUUGAAUAGGGACUCAGUAAAACAAGGCUGAGACCUGCUGGGCUGUAUCCUCAGGAGGUUAUGCAUUUGUAGUCACAGGAUGAUAGGAGGUCACAAGAUACAGGUCACAAAGAUUCCACUGAUAAAACAGGAUGCAAUAAAGAAGUCUGCCAAAAUUCGCUAAAACCAAGAUGGCAGCAAAAGUGACCUCUAGUCAUUCUCACUGCUCAUUAUAUGCUAAUUAUAAUGCAUUAACAUGCUAAAAGACACUCCUACCAGCACCAUGACAGUUUACAAAUGCCACGGCAACAUCCAGAAGUUACCCUAUAUGGCCUAAAAGGAAGAGGAACCCUUCAUUCUGGGAAAUCCCUGCCCCUUUCCUGGAAAACUCAUGAAUAAUCCACUACUUGUUUAGCAUAUAAUCAAGAAAUAACCAUAAAAUUAGCCAACCAGAAGCCCUCAGGGCUGUUCUGUCGAUGGAGUAGUCAUUCUUUUAUUCUUUUGCUUUCUUAAUAAA
RNAcentral lists this long non-coding RNA (1350 nucleotides) under Pan troglodytes (chimpanzee). RNAcentral describes it as "lncRNA (ENSPTRG00000053567.1)". The record is from RNAcentral. Lineage: Eukaryota; Metazoa; Chordata; Mammalia; Primates; Hominidae.